GAACGCACAUUGCGCCCUUUGGUAUUCCGAAGGGCAUGCCUGUUCGAGCGUCAUUAUCACCCCUCAAGCCCCGUGCUUGGUGUUGGACGGCCGGUCGAGCGAUCGACCCCUCCUAAAGACAAUGACGGCGGCCUGCGGUUCCCCCGGUACACUGAGCUUUUAACCGAGCACGUAUCGGACCAGGGCACCCGGGACCCGGUCCUCUCCUUUAACUAGGAAACUUCUAAGGUUGACCUCGGAUCAGGUAGGAAUACGCGCUGAACUUAAG
Molecule: unclassified non-coding RNA, 268 nt
Filed under: Cladophialophora chaetospira
Lineage: Eukaryota; Fungi; Ascomycota; Eurotiomycetes; Chaetothyriales; Herpotrichiellaceae
Description: sequence contains 5.8S rRNA gene
Rfam family: 5.8S ribosomal RNA (bases 1-53)
Source: RNAcentral